RNAcentral lists this ribosomal RNA (495 nucleotides) under uncultured bacterium. RNAcentral's name for it is "SSU rRNA". It matches the Rfam family "Bacterial small subunit ribosomal RNA", at positions 26 to 518 of the family's 1533-position model. The record is from RNAcentral.
AGAUUGAACGCUGGCGGCGUGCCUAACACAUGCAAGUCGAGCGGUAACGGGUGUAGCAAUACAUGCUGACGAGCGGCGAACGGGUGAGUAAUGCUUUGGAAUCUUCCCAGUAGUGGGGAAUAACCAGUCGAAAGAUUGGCUAAUACCGCAUACGUCUGAAAAGGGAAAGCGGGGGAUCGCAAGACCUCGCGCUAUUGGAUGAGCCAAAGUCGGAUUAGCUAGUUGGUGGGGUAAUGGCCUACCAAGGCGACAAUCCGUAGCUGGUCUGAGAGGACGACCAGCCACACCGGAACUGAGACACGGUCCGGACUCCUACGGGAGGCAGCAGUGGGGAAUAUUGGACAAUGGGGGAAACCCUGAUCCAGCGACGCCGCGUGUGUGAAGAAGGCCUGCGGGUUGUAAAGCACUUUUAGUGGGGACAAAAGCCAUUGAUUAUACUUGGUGUCUUGAUUUAACCCAAAGAAAAGCACCGGCUAACUCUGUGCCAGCAGCCGC